GCCAGCACAGGCUGCUAGCUGCUUCCUCCCCUGCUGCAGCUAGGCAGCUGUUUGCUUCCUAUUUUUGUCUGGAGGAGCAAGAACAUUGCUAUGGCCAUGUGAAGUUCUGUUUCCUCUGAUCACAGCAAGAGUGUCCUACGUCAGUCAGACUCAAGGGUCUUUCUUUCUCCAGGGUCAUGACCAUCUGCCCGCAGUCCUGGUUGUGAUGCUGUGCUUCUCGGUCGUGGACUGGCUGAGGGGUGGCUCCCCAGGAUGGAGCCAGCACCCCACCUUCUCAUGUUUCAGGGGCGGCUGCCAGAAGAGCUAUCAAGCCAAGCCCUGUGGCACCUUCAGCUGUAGUGGGA
RNAcentral lists this long non-coding RNA (344 nucleotides) under Chinchilla lanigera (long-tailed chinchilla). Its description in RNAcentral is "lncRNA (ENSCLAG00000027388.1)". The record is from RNAcentral. Lineage: Eukaryota; Metazoa; Chordata; Mammalia; Rodentia; Chinchillidae.